RNAcentral lists this ribosomal RNA (468 nucleotides) under uncultured bacterium. RNAcentral describes it as "partial 16S ribosomal RNA". It matches the Rfam family "Bacterial small subunit ribosomal RNA", at positions 28 to 507 of the family's 1533-position model. The record is from RNAcentral.
GAUGAACGCUGGCGGCGUGCUUAACACAUGCAAGUCGAACGGAAAGGCCCAAGCUUGCUUGGGUACUCGAGUGGCGAACGGGUGAGUAACACGUGGGUGAUCUGCCCUGCACUUCGGGAUAAGCCUGGGAAACUGGGUCUAAUACCGGAUAGGACCACGUCUUGGAUGUUGUGGUGGAAAGUUUUUUCGGUGUGGGAUGAGCUCGCGGCCUAUCAGCUUGUUGGUGGGGUAAUGGCCUACCAAGGCGUCGACGGGUAGCCGGCCUGAGAGGGUGUACGGCCACAUUGGGACUGAGAUACGGCCCAGACUCCUACGGGAGGCAGCAAUGGGGAAUAUUGCACAAUGGGCGCAAGCCUGAUGCAGCGACGCCGCGUGGGGGAUGAAGGCCUUCGGGUUGUAAACUCCUUUCGCUAGGGACGAAGCGUUUUUGUGACGGUACCUGGAGAAGAAGCACCGGCUAACUACGUG